AUGAAGGUGAAUGUGGAUGCUGCUGUGGCGGGACGACGAGGUGUGGGCUCAGUGGCAGCGAUAUGCAGAAACAGGGAUGGACUCUAUAUAGGUGCUUCAUCGGUGGUAUUCAGAGGUAUAACUGAUCCCACAAAUCUGGAAGCUCUUGCGAUGAGGGAGGCUAUGGCAUUGGCGGAGGACCUAAACUUACAAUCCAUACAUGUGGCUUCAGAUUGCUUGGUGGUGAUAGAUGAUCUAAAGAGGAAGAGUGGGGCUGGUUACGGUGCUAUCAUACAUGAAAUACUAGAGUACUCUACUAGUUUUACUUCGUGUAAUUUUGUUCAUGAAUUUAGGAGCUCGAAUGUCGAAGCUCACAAUCUAGCAAAGCAUGCACUUAAACUGGGGCUUGGUCGCCAUGUUUGGUUAGGCCACUCGGGGAUCUUCAUUUCGUCCAUGUAA
This 438-nucleotide ribosomal RNA is filed under the name Triticum aestivum (bread wheat). RNAcentral's name for it is "partial small subunit ribosomal RNA". The record is from RNAcentral. Lineage: Eukaryota; Viridiplantae; Streptophyta; Magnoliopsida; Poales; Poaceae.